This 267-nucleotide ribosomal RNA is filed under the name Acinetobacter baumannii. RNAcentral's name for it is "partial 23S ribosomal RNA". It matches the Rfam family "Bacterial large subunit ribosomal RNA", at positions 829 to 1093 of the family's 2925-position model. Lineage: Bacteria; Pseudomonadati; Pseudomonadota; Gammaproteobacteria; Moraxellales; Moraxellaceae. The record is from RNAcentral.
CCAAUCGAACUCGGAGAUAGCUGGUUCUCCUCGAAAUAGCUUUAGGGCUAGCGUCUGGUUAUUGAGUAAUGGAGGUAGAGCACUGAAUGGGCUAGGGGCUGACAACAGUUACUGAACCCUAUCAAACUCCGAAUGCCAUAUACUUUUAUCCAGGCAGUCAGACUGCGAGUGAUAAGAUCCGUAGUCGAGAGGGAAACAACCCAGACCAUCAGCUAAGGUCCCAAAGUGUAAGUUAAGUGGAAAAGGAUGUGGGAUUUCUAAGACAAC